CAGCACCUCAAGUGGUCAGGAUGAUUAUUGGGACUAAAGCAUCCGUAGCCGGCGCUGUAAGUUUUCGGUUAAAUCUGUACGCUCAACGUAAGGCUGCCGGGAAUACUGCAGAGCUAGGGAGUGGGAGAGGUAGACGGUACUCGGUAGGAAGGGGUAAAAUCCUUUGAUCUAUUGAUGACCACCUGUGGCGAAGGCGGUCUACCAGAACACGUCCGACGGUGAGGGAUGAAAGCUGGGGGAGCAAACCGGAUUAGAUACCCGAGUAGUCC
This 269-nucleotide ribosomal RNA is filed under the name uncultured archaeon. RNAcentral describes it as "partial 16S ribosomal RNA". It matches the Rfam family "Archaeal small subunit ribosomal RNA", at positions 477 to 747 of the family's 1478-position model. The record is from RNAcentral.